Molecule: long non-coding RNA, 1574 nt
Organism: Haliaeetus leucocephalus (bald eagle)
Lineage: Eukaryota; Metazoa; Chordata; Aves; Accipitriformes; Accipitridae
Exons: 5
Source: RefSeq, a predicted model, not a curated record
CCUCUCCCGUCCCGUCCCUCCCCUGGCCUUGUCGUGGUGUGUGAGGUACCAGCCUGCAACGAGUUCUCAGCAAUUCUGAUCCAAGGAUACAUCACUUCUGCAAACAAAAUAGUUUUUAGGGUGGUGCAGAAUUUUAUACUGGAAACAACUGUUGCAUUCAUUUGUUCACAUGAACAAGUGUGACCUGCAAAUGGAGCUACCUUUGUAUCAAGAGGAACUGGAAGUACACAGUCACAAAAUCUCUGUCUGCUGCUGUGGAGAGCUGCUGCCAGUUUAGACCCUUGGGCUGAAGUCGUCUAGAGCUGGACUGGGCCCUCUCUGUUGUUGACUCUCAAGAAGGAAAUGCACCAGCAUGGAGAGAAGUAUUUCUCAGCAUUAUUUACUUUUUGGUUAUCCUGCUGCUGCUGUGACUGCUGAUACUGACCUGCUCUGACCUGUGGUUUAGAACAACCUCUAAUGAUUUGGUUCUCCUUUCUUGAAGGCAGAGGACUAUUCAUCAGCACUCUGCAUCUCAUUGCUCUUUUCAUUGUGCUCAAGCGUGUCUGGAGAGGGACUGAGGUGCCCUUGGCUCCACUGGAAACAUUAUGUCAUCUUCUCAACAAGAUGUUGUAAUGCCAGGAAAGGAUCAAUACUUUGAUGAGGAGCUGCUGGCUCAAAACCACUUUAUUAUUUGAUAAAGGACCGCUUGGAACAUUUUCCAAAGCAUUUCCCAUGGUAUGAAGCUCUAGGGAGUGUAUUUGUCUCUCUGCCUAGGAAACUGAGUUGAUUCAUCUGUAAAUAUGUGUCUGCCAACCUCAGAUAACAAGAAAAAUUGCACCUUCUGCCCACGUUAGGCUUCAGCCUUUCAGCCAUUUCAAUAAUAUACUGUCCGUGAAGGAAGUGCUUCACAUACCAACAAUCAAUUCAGUGGGGAAGGGAGGAAAAGGUUUUAGCCUUUUUCCUGCUGCCGACACCAGACAAGUCUAGCAUUUAGUCCGUAUGACCGCACAGCCCUGGGAGUGCUGCAUUGUGUGGGGUGCAAGGGCUGGCAGCCCCACAGGAGCUUGACUGCGAAAGUGUUUUGUGCUGCAGUCCUUGCAUCCGCCCCCAGCCAGCUUCCCUGCCAGGUUGCAGUGCCAGUGCUGUCAACCGUGUCUGCCUCAGGAUCUCCAGCUGAGACAAACCAGGACAGCCGCAUGCCUCUGGGUCAAUGUGUUGUGAAAGGCAGGACAGCUAGAGCUAAAGGGCUCUCCAUUGAAACAAGCUCAGUUGUCCGCUGAGAAACUAGUCUUGGAAGAGAUUAGAGUUGUUCAGGGUGCUAAACCGACAUCACUUUGGAUAAGACCACUAAUAUACAAUGAUCAAGGAUUAUGCAGUGCAUGAGUGAAAUGGAUUUUAAAAAGAAAGCGCUGGCCAAGCCAUUUAGACUUCUUGUAUUCUCUUCAUGCAGUCAGGGAUGGCUUUAGCAGACAGGCUGCAUGGAAGUCCUGUAGCUCUGUAUGAACAGCCCGUCAUCUGAGGGGAAAACACUACCUUGCUACGUAUUGCAGCUUCAUUUCACUCUCCUGUUGGCUCAUUUAAUCCUCCUGUUGGCU